Molecule: long non-coding RNA, 626 nt
Filed under: Marmota monax (woodchuck)
Lineage: Eukaryota; Metazoa; Chordata; Mammalia; Rodentia; Sciuridae
Source: RNAcentral
CUGCACUUGCCUGGCAUGUGUGAGACACUGAGUUCGAUUCUCAUCACUGCAUAUAAAUAAAUAAAAUAAAAGUCUAUCAACAACUAAAAAAACAAAAAAUUAAAAAGAGAAAAAAAGUCUGCCUUCCUCCCUACCAUCUCAUGCUUCAUAAGGAUGAUACAGAAGUUAGAUAUACUAUUUGGAGCAAGGGUGAACACUUUGCAGACCUUUAGCAUUAUUUUCUUUCUUUCGUCUAUCUUUCAGGAUAUCCCUGUGUCUUCUUGAUCAUCUCCACCCUCUUUUAGAUGGACAGCAUGCCUUUAUCUUAUUUGUUUACUUUUAUGUAGUGCUGAGGAUCAAACUCAGUACCUCACACAUGCCACACAAGUGCUCCGCCACUAAGCCCCAGCCCCAGCCCCAGCCCUCCAUCCUCUUUUACAAUGUUUCUUCUCAGCUAGCCUUUUUGAAAGAGCACUGAAAAUUUCCCACUUUCAUAUUUUGAACUCCUUUGCUCCCCUCUCCCUACAGUGUGUAUUAGGUCAGUAGUGACUUCCUAAUUGCCAAAUCCAGUUAUUUUUCUCUUUACUGAACUUGACAAUUUUGGUUAUCCCUUUCUUGAUGAUUUUACAUUUCCCUAGUUCUGUAUC